CGGGUGAGUAAUGUAUGGGGAUCUGCCUGAUGGCGGGGGAUAACUACUGGAAACGGUAGCUAAUACCGCAUAAUGUCUACGGACCAAAGCGGGGGACCUCCGGGCCUCGCGCCAUCAGAUGAACCCAUAUGGGAUUAGCUAGUAGGUAAGGUGACGGCUUACCUAGGCGACGAUCCCUAGCUGGUCUGAGAGGAUGAUCAGCCACACUGGGACUGAGACACGGCCCAG
RNAcentral lists this ribosomal RNA (228 nucleotides) under uncultured bacterium. Its description in RNAcentral is "partial 16S ribosomal RNA". It matches the Rfam family "Bacterial small subunit ribosomal RNA", at positions 103 to 334 of the family's 1533-position model. The record is from RNAcentral.